CGGCAACAGCUCAAAUUUGAAAUCUGGCCCCCCGCGGGCCCGAGUUGUACUUUGNUAGAGGACGCUUCUGGCGCGGCGCCGUCCGAGUUCCCUGGAACGGGACGCCGGAGAGGGUGAGAGCCCCGUACGGGCGGCCGCCUAGCCUCUGCGAAGCUCCUUCGACGAGUCGAGUAGUUUGGGAAUGCUGCUCAAAAUGGGAGGUAAAUUUCUUCUAAAGCUAAAUACCGGCCAGAGACCGAUAGCGCACAAGUAGAGUGAUCGAAAGAUGAAAAGCACUUUGAAAAGAGGGUCAAACAGUACGUGAAAUUGUUGAAAGGGAAGCGCCUGUGGCCAGACUUGCGCCCCGCGGACCACCCGGCGCCUCGCGCGCCGGGGCACGCCAGCGGGGCGCAGGCCAGCAUCGGCUCUCUCGGGGGGACAAAGGCCGCGGGAACGUAGCGCCCUCGCGGCGUAUUAUAGCCCGCGGCGCCAUGCCCCCGGGGGGGCCGAGGACCGCGCUCCGGCAAGGAUGCUGGCGUAAUGGCCACCGGCGACCCGUCUUGAAACACGGACCAAGGAGUCAAGCAUUGGGGCGAGUGUCUGGGUGGCAAGCCCGCACGCGGAAUGAAAGUGAACGCAGGUGGGAGCUUCGGCGCACCACCGACCGAUCCUGAUGUCCUCGGAUGGAUUUGAGUAGGAGCCCCGCCGCUUGGACCCGAAAGAUGGUGAACUAUGCCUGUAUAGGGUGAAGCCAGAGGAAACUCUGGUGGAGGCCCGCAGCGGUUCUGACGUGC
This 773-nucleotide ribosomal RNA is filed under the name Harringtonia lauricola. RNAcentral describes it as "Raffaelea lauricola partial large subunit ribosomal RNA". It matches the Rfam family "Eukaryotic large subunit ribosomal RNA", at positions 99 to 894 of the family's 3401-position model. The record is from RNAcentral. Lineage: Eukaryota; Fungi; Ascomycota; Sordariomycetes; Ophiostomatales; Ophiostomataceae.